RNAcentral lists this ribosomal RNA (400 nucleotides) under uncultured bacterium. RNAcentral describes it as "bacterial SSU rRNA". It matches the Rfam family "Archaeal small subunit ribosomal RNA", at positions 339 to 740 of the family's 1478-position model. The record is from RNAcentral.
GCGCGAAAACUUUACAAUGCUGGGAACAGCGAUAAGGGAACCUCGAGUGCCAGGUUACAAAUCUGGCUGUCGUGAUGCCUAAAAAGCAUUAUAUAGCAAGGGCCGGGCAAGACCGGUGCCAGCCGCCGCGGUAACACCGGCGGCUCGAGUGGUAACCGUUAUUAUUGGGUCUAAAGGGUCUGUAGCCGGCCGGAUAAGUCUCUUGGGAAAUCUGGCAGCUUAACUGUCAGGCUUUCAGGGGAUACUGUCUGGCUCGAGGCCGGGAGAGGUGAGAGGUACUUCAGGGGUAGGGUGAAAUCUUGUAAUCCUUGAAGGACCACCAGUGGCGAAGGCGUCUCACCAGAACGGACCUGACGGCAAGGGACGAAAGCUAGGGGCACGAACCGGAUUAGAAACCCUU